Molecule: ribosomal RNA, 553 nt
Filed under: uncultured bacterium
Lineage: Bacteria
Description: partial 16S ribosomal RNA
Rfam family: Bacterial small subunit ribosomal RNA
Source: RNAcentral
GGAAUAUUGCACAAUGGGCGAAAGCCUGAUGCAGCGACGCCGCGUGCGGGAUGAAGGCCUUCGGGUUGUAAACCGCUUUUAAUUGGGAGCAAGCGAGAGUGAGUGUACCUUUUGAAUAAGCACCGGCUAACUACGUGCCAGCAGCCGCGGUAAUACGUAGGGUGCAAGCGUUAUCCGGAAUUAUUGGGCGUAAAGAGCUCGUAGGCGGUUUGUCACGCCUGGUGUGAAAGUCCAUCGCUUAACGGUGGAUCUGCGCCGGGUACGGGCAGGCUAGAGUGCAGUAGGGGAGAUUGGAAUUCCCGGUGUAACGGUGGAAUGUGUAGAUAUCGGGAAGAACACCAAUGGCGAAGGCAGAUCUCUGGGCUGUUACUGACGCUGAGGAGCGAAAGCAUGGGGAGCGAACAGGAUUAGAUACCCUGGUAGUCCAUGCCGUAAACGGUGGAUGCUGGAUGUGGGACCCUUCCACGGGUUCCGUGUCGGAGCUAACGCGUUAAGCAUCCCGCCUGGGGAGUACGGCCGCAAGGCUAAAACUCUAAAGUGAAUUGACGGGGUC